This 2682-nucleotide long non-coding RNA is filed under the name Fragaria vesca (wild strawberry). Its description in RNAcentral is "long non-coding RNA (FVES_LNC000077)". Lineage: Eukaryota; Viridiplantae; Streptophyta; Magnoliopsida; Rosales; Rosaceae. The record is from RNAcentral.
UUUUUUUUUUUUUUUCUAUCUUCCCUCUCUUUUCUCUCUUCUCUCUUUUCUCCCUCUUCCUCUCCCGAGUUUCCUUGAGAACCUAACUCCCGCCGGAGCUAGCACCACCGUCCGGCCACUGAUUGGACCGCCACCCGUCCCAUUCGACUCCCACAGAUGCCCUCUUCAAGGCUGGGCAGCUGCUACUCGGUGUGGGACACCGGAAACAACGCUUUCGGCCUGAAAAGGGGGCUGCUGUGCCACCGGUCGGAACCGCCGUAUACGGCGGCGACGAGGGACAUCCUUAGGUGAGUCUUGAUCCUCUCCUCCUUAGGGUGCAUUUAGAAAGUAAAGAAGCCAAGAAAAAAGAAGAAGAUGGAUCUAACAUCUUACCAAAAGAAUGCUAAACUAACACCAAAAGAAUGUUAUGAUGCCCAUUCUUCAAUUUUGAACCCAGUAUACAUUAGAGAAUUAAGAAUAAAAAUGCAUUUUAGAAGAAAUUUAGAAAGUAAAGAAGCCAAAAUAAAAGAGGAAAAAACACUGCGAAGGCUGGGAAUCGAACCCAUGUGUGCAUGAUGUAAGUAUUUAUCCCAAACCAAGCCUGCAAAGGCUUUAAUUGUGCUCAGGCUACACACAUUAAAACAUAUAUUGACAAAAUCUCAGUUGGGCUCAAGCCCAACCAACCUCUUACCUGGCUCCGCGCCUGAGUGAAGUGGCAUGUAGUGUGUUAAUAUAUUGGCUAUUCAUAUUCAAUCACUAGGAUCUCCUACUGCAGCCAGGAAAGGAAGAGAUAAAAGAAACAUACCUCGAUCUGAGAAUUCCCAAUGAAGAAAGGAAAAGUGAUUCAAGAUCCGGAAGUCCAAGUGUUGAUCACAAGUUUACAUAAUCAGUGGUAUCACUCAAGGAUCACAGGUAAUGAGUUUUUUACUUGCUUGUUUAUGGUAAGUUAAUCUCUUUAUUGGUUAAUUGUCCUGAGUGAAAGAUUUUUGAUAAAAAUCUUAUGUUUAGGAUUUUCCAUAUCAGGUUCCUUAAAGUGCUCAUUUGCGGAUUUUAAUUAUUCUAAGAUAUUUGAUUUGGUGUUUUUCCAAACCAGGUACAUUAGAAUUUUUAUCUGCAUAAAUCUUGCUUAUCUGAUCUUAUACGUCUAUGUGCUUCAUCAUUGGCUUCAGCAUGAUCAGGAAAUUGAAUUGCACAUUUUAGAAUGACUUUGUUAUAGCAGUAAACUGGUGUAUCAGUUUUAGAAAGUGCAAAACUGAUUACUUCCUAUCUAAAACGAAAUUUGAUCCUGUCAUUGAAUGACAUCAGUUAAGGGGGAGUAUUUUCAUACUCUAUAAAUUGCUUCUGCUGCUUUUAGAAACUCAAGCUUUUUGGAUGAAUUGAAAUAGACUUUGUUAAACAUUGACUGGAAGUUCAUUACAUGUUGAUAUCCUUCAUACAAACAGACCUGUGUGAGUUUUCUAUAAACUAAGUUUCUCUUCUUACUUGCAGACUGAUUGCAUUUGAGAUUGCUGAAGCUGUUUUUGGAAGAAGUAAUAAACUGGAGGUGUUGCAGAUUCAAAGAGAAACUGAUUGUGUAUUGUUUCAUUGAAUCAAUAACUGAAAGUGUCUAAGUGUGUAAGAAUCAGUUGUAGCAGGAUCUAGUUGUGAGAGAACUAGCAUGGAUGAGUGUGUGAGAUCUCAGUCUAGCAGGGAUAAUAUAAAAAAAUGUCACGAUUCAAGGACAUAUGUCUUACAGAUAAAAAUAGAAAGCACACAGCUCAACUUUGUUAUUGCUUGAAUCAUAUUUUGCUAAAUAAUAUAAUCUCCAUAUAGGCGCAAUCUAAGGGUUGAAUUAUUGCUCAUAGUUUUGUUUUCAUUAUUUGCUAAAGAUGCCGGAGAACUUACCAUAUAUCAUAGUACUGCCCCUGAUGAAUACACACAUCAGUACCGUGAACUGGUGCAAACCCAGCUCCCCUAGAAUGUCAAUUUACCUAACCCGUAAUGGGGUAUAAGUAUAACAAGACAACUAAAGUUCGAUCAGCCUUAGGACCAUAUUAAACCUGCAACUAUUCACACUUAAGGAUGAGAAGUACACUAUCAAUCAUUCAUGCUCAAGACUGACUACAGAAGAGGAAAGAGCUCCCCUAUGGAUGCAAUAGACAGAGGAAAAGAAUUUAUAGUAGAAAUCAACAUCUCAUGCGAAAUCUCAGAUUAACCACAAGAAAAGAAAGUAAAUACAAUCCUCACCUCAGGGUAACAAUCUUGACGAACAACUGUGUGAUUGUUUGAAUUCACAUACACCUCACACGAAGCUCUUCCCUGAUCAACAGUACUGACCACAGUUAGAUAAUAUCAAAAUGAAGAAGUAAAGCACACCACAAUCACAAUCACAUCAUACAGUAACUCAUCUCAACCUUACAUUUCACAUGCAUCUUAUAUACAAUCCAUUAGAAGAUGUCAACUUAUCAGCUUGUGCUGCUACUUUCUCUAUUGUUUUUUGACAUCUUACUUACAAAGACACGAUAAUAGUCAUACACGGUAAGCAUAUUAAGUAGCACAGGGUUUUACUUUUUCUUUUCCACCAUUUCGGAUUAUUAAGAUAAGACAACCAUAUUGUGCAUUAGAUAUACAAACUACCUGACAGCGCAUAAGAUACUUGAAAAAUCAGGCGAGGACAGACUGAAACAUGUAUCCGUUAAGGAGCACAAACUAUACAAAUACUGA